UAGGGAAUCUUCCGCAAUGGGCGAAAGCCUGACGGAGCAACGCCGCGUGAGUGAUGAAGGGUUUCGGCUCGUAAAACUCUGUUAUUAGGGAAGAACAAAUGUGUAAGUAACUGUGCACAUUUUGACGGUACCUAAUCAGAAAGCCACGGCUAACUACGUGCCAGCAGCCGCGGUAAUACGUAGGUGGCAAGCGUUAUCCGGAAUUAUUGGGUGUAAAGCGCGAGUAGGCGGUUUCUUAAGUCUGAUGUGAAAGCCCACGGCUCAACCGUGGAGGGUCAUUGGAAACUGGGAAACUUGAGUGCAGAAGAGGAAAGUGGAAUUCCAUGUGUAGCGGUGAAAUGCGCAGAGAUAUGGAGGAACACCAGUGGCGAAGGCGACUUUCUGGUCUGUAACUGACGCUGAUGUGCGAAAGCGUGGGGAUCAAACAGG
Molecule: ribosomal RNA, 429 nt
Filed under: Bacillota bacterium
Lineage: Bacteria; Bacillati; Bacillota
Description: Firmicutes bacterium partial 16S ribosomal RNA
Rfam family: Bacterial small subunit ribosomal RNA
Source: RNAcentral